AUACGGAGGGUGCAAGCGUUAAUCGGAAUUACUGGGCGUAAAGCGCGCGUAGGCGGUUUAGUAAGUCGGAUGUGAAAGCCCUGGGCUCAACCUGGGAAUUGCAUUCGAUACUGCUUGACUAGAGUAUGGUAGAGGGAAGUGGAAUUUCCGGUGUAGCGGUGAAAUGCGUAGAUAUCGGAAGGAACACCAGUGGCGAAGGCGGCUUCCUGGAUCAAUACUGACGCUGAGGUGCGAAAGCGUGGGGAGCAAACAGGAUUAGAAACCCCGGUAGUCC
RNAcentral lists this ribosomal RNA (274 nucleotides) under uncultured bacterium. Its description in RNAcentral is "partial 16S ribosomal RNA". It matches the Rfam family "Bacterial small subunit ribosomal RNA", at positions 523 to 796 of the family's 1533-position model. The record is from RNAcentral.